Molecule: ribosomal RNA, 468 nt
Filed under: uncultured bacterium
Lineage: Bacteria
Description: partial 16S ribosomal RNA
Rfam family: Bacterial small subunit ribosomal RNA
Source: RNAcentral
GACGAACGCUGGCGGCGUGCUUAACACAUGCAAGUCGAACGGAAAGGCCCUGCUUUUGUGGGGUGCUCGAGUGGCGAACGGGUGAGUAACACGUGAGUAACCUGCCCUUGACUUUGGGAUAACUUCAGGAAACUGGGGCUAAUACCGGAUAGGAGCUCCUGCUGCAUGGUGGGGGUUGGAAAGUUUCGGCGGUUGGGGAUGGACUCGCGGCUUAUCAGCUUGUUGGUGGGGUAGUGGCUUACCAAGGCUUUGACGGGUAGCCGGCCUGAGAGGGUGACCGGCCACAUUGGGACUGAAAUACGGCCCAGACUCCUACGGGAGGCAGCAGUGGGGAAUUUUGCACAAUGGGCGGAAGCCUGAUGCAGCAACGCCGCGUGCGGGAUGACGGCCUUCGGGUUGUAAACCGCUUUCGCCUGUGACGAAGCGUGAGUGACGGUAAUGGGUAAAGAAGCACCGGCUAACUACGUG